UCAGAAAAGAAGGACAUCUAACCUCCACAUGUCAACUCCCAAAGCAUGAUGUUCUACACUAAACUAUUUUCUGUC
RNAcentral lists this transfer RNA (75 nucleotides) under Pterocles namaqua (Namaqua sandgrouse). RNAcentral describes it as "tRNA-Pro". Lineage: Eukaryota; Metazoa; Chordata; Aves; Pterocliformes; Pteroclidae. The record is from RNAcentral.